RNAcentral lists this unclassified non-coding RNA (577 nucleotides) under uncultured bacterium. RNAcentral describes it as "partial contains 16S ribosomal RNA, 16S-23S ribosomal RNA intergenic spacer, and 23S ribosomal RNA". The stretch from base 464 to 577 matches the Rfam family "Bacterial large subunit ribosomal RNA", at positions 1 to 114 of the family's 2925-position model. The record is from RNAcentral.
UAUAGAGAAUACCGUUUCCACGAAAACGGUCAAAUCCAAAGCGACUGUCUGAACAUCUCUUUUUGAAAAUGGGUAUAAUUCUGCUGGGUCAGUAGUUCAGUUGGUUAGAAUGCCGCUCUGAUACAGCGGAGGUCGAAGAUUCGAGUUCUUCCUGACCCACCACUUAAAUUGAUGAGGUUGGAAUCAAAAACAAAUACUUGUUUUUGAUUCCAGAUGUUCUGAUGAAUAUCUUCGGAAUCUGCUUUUAUUAGCAAUCAUUGUAAAUCGGUUUUUAAUGUCGUAAAUCAAACUUUAUGGAAACAUGACUUUUGAUUUAUUGAACAUCGUAAUCUCAAAAAUCUUUCUAAAUAGAGUAAUCACGAAAGUGAUAAUUCAAUUAGAGAAGCAAGAGUCAACUUAAAUGCUUAAAAAACUCAUUAAGUUCUUUUGAUUGUGUUUGAAGACUUUCUCUUCAAGCAUAAGAUAAAAAGUAACAAAGGGUGUUUAGUGGAUGCCUUGGCAAUCAGAGGCGAUGAAGGACGUGAAAGACUGCGAUAAGUCCGGGUGAGGCGUCAAUAUCCUUUGACCCCGGAAUUUC